UACGUAGGGUGCGAGCGUUGUCCGGAAUUAUUGGGCGUAAAGAGCUCGUAGGCGGUUUGUCGCGUCUGCUGUGAAAACUCGGGGCUUAACCCCGGGCCUGCAGUGGGUACGGGCAGACUAGAGUGCGGUAGGGGAGACUGGAAUUCCUGGUGUAGCGGUGAAAUGCGCAGAUAUCAGGAGGAACACCGAUGGCGAAGGCAGGUCUCUGGGCCACUACUGACGCUGAGAAGCGAAAGCAUGGGGAGCGAACAGG
This 253-nucleotide ribosomal RNA is filed under the name uncultured bacterium. Its description in RNAcentral is "partial 16S ribosomal RNA". It matches the Rfam family "Bacterial small subunit ribosomal RNA", at positions 524 to 776 of the family's 1533-position model. The record is from RNAcentral.